GAUCUGGCUCAGGAUGAACGCUGGCGGCAUGCCUAAUACAUGCAAGUCGAACGGACCGAAGGGAAAGCUUGCUUUUCCUGAAGUCAGUGGCGAACGGGUGAGUAACACGUAGGUAACCUGCCCAUGUGCCCGGGACAACGCCUGGAAACGGGUGCUAAAACCGGAUAGGUAGAGAGAUCGCAUGAACUUUCUAUUAAAGGGGCUACGGCCCUGAACAUGGAUGGACCUGCGGUGCAUUAGCUAGUUGGUG
RNAcentral lists this ribosomal RNA (250 nucleotides) under uncultured bacterium. RNAcentral describes it as "partial 16S ribosomal RNA". It matches the Rfam family "Bacterial small subunit ribosomal RNA", at positions 15 to 254 of the family's 1533-position model. The record is from RNAcentral.